AGAGUUUGAUCCUGGCUCAGGACGAACGCUGGCGGCGUGCUUAACACAUGCAAGUCGAGCGGAAAGGCCCUUCGGGGUACUCGAGCGGCGAACGGGUGAGUAACACGUGAGCAACCUGCCCUUGGCUUUGGGAUAACCCUCGGAAACGGGGGCUAAUACCGGAUAUGACCUUCUUCCGCAUGGUGGGGGGUGGAAAGUUUUUCGGCCAGGGAUGGGCUCGCGGCCUAUCAGCUUGUUGGUGGGGUGAUGGCCUACCAAGGCGACGACGGGUAGCCGGCCUGAGAGGGCGACCGGCCACACUGGGACUGAGACACGGCCCAGACUCCUACGGGAGGCAGCAGUGGGGAAUAUUGCACAAUGGGCGAAAGCCUGAUGCAGCGACGCCGCGUGAGGGAUGACGGCCUUCGGGUUGUAAACCUCUUUCAGCAGGGACGAAGCGCAAGUGACGGUACCUGCAGAAGAAGCGCCGGCCAACUACGUGCCAGCAGCCGCGGUAAGACGUAGGGCGCGAGCGUUGUCCGGAUUUAUUGGGCGUAAAGAGCUCGUAGGCGGCUUGUUGCGUCGACUGUGAAAACCCGCGGCUCAACCGUGUGGUCUGCAGUCGAUACGGGCAGGCUGGAGUUCGGUAGGGGAGACUGGAAUUCCUGGUGUAGCGGUGAAAUGCGCAGAUAUCAGGAGGAACACCGGUGGCGAAGGCGGGUCUCUGGGCCGAUACUGACGCUGAGGAGCGAAAGCGUGGGGAGCGAACAGGAUUAGAUACCCUGGUAGUCCACGCUGUAAACGUUGGGCGCUAGGUGUGGGGGGCCUCUCCGGUUCCCUGUGCCGCAGCUAACGCAUUAAGCGCCCCGCCUGGGGAGUACGGCCGCAAGGCUAAAACUCAAAGGAAUUGACGG
This 893-nucleotide ribosomal RNA is filed under the name uncultured bacterium. Its description in RNAcentral is "bacterial SSU rRNA". It matches the Rfam family "Bacterial small subunit ribosomal RNA", at positions 8 to 916 of the family's 1533-position model. The record is from RNAcentral.